Molecule: long non-coding RNA, 103 nt
Organism: Octopus sinensis (East Asian common octopus)
Lineage: Eukaryota; Metazoa; Mollusca; Cephalopoda; Octopoda; Octopodidae
Exons: 4
Source: RefSeq, a predicted model, not a curated record
CCAUUCGUUUACGGCAUAUACUUACACUUGCAUGGCUUAAGCUUUGCGACAAGCAUAUGACUACUGGCAGGAUCAACCAGGAUCUCUUCUUAAUGAAUGAUCA